UAGAGUUUGAUCAUGGCUCAGGACGAACGCUGGCGGCGUGCUUAACACAUGCAAGUCGAGCGAGGCUCUCCCUUCGGGGGGAUGCCCUAGCGGCGAACGGGUGAGUAACACGUGAGCAAUCUGCCCCGAACUCUGGGAUAACUGCGGGAAACCGCAGCUAAUACCGGAUACGACCCAAGGAGGCAUCUCCAUUGGGUGGAAAGUUUUUCGGUUCGGGAUGAGCUCGCGGCCUAUCAGCUUGUUGGUGGGGUAAUGGCCUACCAAGGCGACGACGGGUAGCCGGCCUGAGAGGGCGACCGGCCACACUGGGACUGAGACACGGCCCAGACUCCUACGGGAGGCAGCAGUGGGGAAUCUUGCGCAAUGGCCUAACGGCUGACGCAGCGACGCCGCGUGUGGGAUGAAGCUCUUCGGAGUGUAAACCACUGUUGCCCGGGACGAAUGUGCACCAUUGGGUGCAUUGACGGUACCGGGUGAGGAAGCACCGGCUAACUCCGUGCCAGCAGCCGCGGUACGCC
Molecule: ribosomal RNA, 518 nt
Filed under: uncultured bacterium
Lineage: Bacteria
Description: bacterial SSU rRNA
Rfam family: Bacterial small subunit ribosomal RNA
Source: RNAcentral